UACGUAGGAGGCAAGCGUUAUCCGGAUUUACUGGGCGUAAAGAGGGCGUAGGCGGCCUUUCAAGUCGGAUGUAAAAUCUCCCGGCUUAACUGGGAGGGACCAUCUGAUACUGUUGGGCUAGAGUGCAGCAGAGGGAGGCGGAAUUCCCGGUGUAGUGGUGAAAUGCGUAGAUAUCGGGAGGAACACCAGUGGCGAAGGCGGCCUCCUGGGCUGUAACUGACGCUGAGGCCCGAAGGCGUGGGGAG
This 245-nucleotide ribosomal RNA is filed under the name uncultured Chloroflexota bacterium. RNAcentral describes it as "uncultured Chloroflexi bacterium partial 16S ribosomal RNA". It matches the Rfam family "Bacterial small subunit ribosomal RNA", at positions 524 to 768 of the family's 1533-position model. Lineage: Bacteria; Bacillati; Chloroflexota. The record is from RNAcentral.